GGACGAACGCUGGCGGCGUGCCUAAUACAUGCAAGUCGAGCGGACCUUUAGAAGCUUGCUUCUGAAGGUUAGCGGCGGACGGGUGAGUAACACGUGGGCAACCUGCCCUAUAGUUGGGGAUAACUCCGGGAAACCGGGGCUAAUACCGAAUAAUUCAUUUCAUCACAUGUUGAAAUGAUGAAAGAUGGUUCUGCUAUCGCUAUAGGAUGGGCCCGCGGCGCAUUAGCUAGUUGGUGAGGUAACGGCUCACCAAGGCGACGAUGCGUAGCCGACCUGAGAGGGUGAUCGGCCACACUGGGACUGAGACACGGCCCAGACUCCUACGGGAGGCAGCAGUAGGGAAUCUUCCACAAUGGACGAAAGUCUGAUGGAGCAACGCCGCGUGAGUGAAGAAGGUUUUCGGAUCGUAAAACUCUGUUGUAAGGGAAGAACAAGUACAGUAGUAACUGACUGUACCUUGACGGUACCUUAUUAGAAAGCCACGGGUUACUACGUGCCAGCAGCCGCGGUAAUACGUAGGUGGCAAGCGUUAUCCGGAAUUAUUGGGCGUAAAGCGCGCGCAGGCGGUCCUUUAAGUCUGAUGUGAAAGCCCAAGGCUCAACCGUGGAGGGUCAUU
Molecule: ribosomal RNA, 616 nt
Filed under: uncultured bacterium C1
Lineage: Bacteria
Description: bacterial SSU rRNA
Rfam family: Bacterial small subunit ribosomal RNA
Source: RNAcentral